RNAcentral lists this ribosomal RNA (502 nucleotides) under Lytta auriculata. Its description in RNAcentral is "partial large subunit ribosomal RNA". It matches the Rfam family "Archaeal large subunit ribosomal RNA", at positions 1889 to 2640 of the family's 2987-position model. Lineage: Eukaryota; Metazoa; Arthropoda; Insecta; Coleoptera; Meloidae. The record is from RNAcentral.
CGCCUGUUUAUCAAAAACAUGUCUUUUUGUUAAUUAUUUAAGGUUUGACCUGCUCCAUGAAUAUAUUAAAUAGCCGCAGUAUUUUGACUGUGCAAAGGUAGCAUAAUCAUUAGUUUUUUAAUUGAAAGCUGGAAUGAAGGGUUGGAUGAGGAAGAAGCUGUCUCAUUUUUAUUUUAGUUGAAUUUUAUAUUUAAGUUAAAAAGCUUAAAUUUUAUAGAAAGACGAGAAGACCCUAUAGAGUUUAAUAGAUUUAUUUAGCGUUUAUUUGUAGGUUAUAAUUUGAUUGGUUUUUGAUCUAUUUGGUUGGGGUGACAUAAGAAUUGGAUAAACUUCUUAGUAUUUUUACAUUGAUUAAUGAAUUAUUGAUCCUAUUAUUUGGAUUAUAAGAUUAAAUUACCUUAGGGAUAACAGCGUAAUUCUUUUGGAGAGCUCUAAUCGAUAAAAGGGAUUGCGACCUCGAUGUUGGAUUAAAGUUAAGUCUUGGUGCAGAAGCUAGGAUUUU